This 468-nucleotide ribosomal RNA is filed under the name uncultured bacterium. RNAcentral describes it as "partial 16S ribosomal RNA". It matches the Rfam family "Bacterial small subunit ribosomal RNA", at positions 28 to 507 of the family's 1533-position model. The record is from RNAcentral.
GACGAACGCUGGCGGCGUGCGUAACACAUGCAAGUCGAACGGUGAAGCUCCAGCUUGCUGGAGUGGAUCAGUGGCGAACGGGUGAGUAACACGUGAGCAACCUGCCCCUGACUCUGGAAUAAGCGCUGGAAACGGCGUCUAAUACUGGAUACGAGAAGGGUCCGCAUGGGCACUUUCUGGAAAGUUUUUCGGUUGGGGAUGGGCUCGCGGCCUAUCAGCUUGUUGGUGAGGUAAUGGCUCACCAAGGCGACGACGGGUAGCCGGCCUGAGAGGGCGACCGGCCACACUGGGACUGAGACACGGCCCAGACUCCUACGGGAGGCAGCAGUGGGGAAUAUUGCACAAUGGGCGAAAGCCUGAUGCAGCGACGCCGCGUGAGGGAUGACGGCCUUCGGGUUGUAAACCUCUUUCAGCAGGGAAGAAGCGAAAGUGACGGUACCUGCAGAAGAAGCACCGGCUAACUACGUG